AGCAGCCGCGGUAAUUCCAGCUCCAAUAGCGUAUAUUAAAGUUGUUGCAGUUAAAAAGCUCGUAGUUGAAUUUCGGGAUUAGUGCGCCGGUCGUGCCUUCGGUAUGUACUGGUGUUACUGGUUCCUACCUUCUGACGAACCGUCAUGUCAUUAAUUUGGUGUGGCGGGGAAUCAGGACUGUUACUUUGAAAAAAUUAGAGUGUUUAAAGCAGGCUCGCGCUUGAAUACAUUAGCAUGGAAUAAUGAAAUAGGACGUUCGAUCCUAUUUUGUUGGUUUCUAGGAUUGACGUAAUGAUUAAUAGGGAUAGUUGGGGGCAUUAGUAUUCAAUUGUCAGAGGUGAAAUUCUUGGAUUUAUUGAAGACUAACUACUGCGAAAGCAUUUGCCAAGGAUGUUUUCAUUAAUCAAGAACGAAAGUUAGGGGAUCGAAGACGAUCAGAUACCGUCGUAGUCUUAACCAUAAACUAUGCCGACUAGGGAUCGGAUGAUGUUAUUUUUAAUGACUCAUUCGGCGCCUUAAC
Molecule: ribosomal RNA, 520 nt
Filed under: uncultured Glomus
Lineage: Eukaryota; Fungi; Glomeromycota; Glomeromycetes; Glomerales; Glomeraceae
Description: SSU rRNA
Rfam family: Eukaryotic small subunit ribosomal RNA
Source: RNAcentral